AACGUAGGAGACAAACGUUAUCCGGAGUUACUGGGCGUAAAGGGCGUGUAGGUGGUUUCGUAAGUCUGGCGUGAAAUAUCUCGGCUUAACCGAGGCAGGUCGUCGGAUACUGCGGGACUAGAGGACGGUAGAGGCGUGUGGAAUUCCGGGUGUAGUGGUGAAAUGCGUAGAGAUCCGGAGGAACACCAGUGGCGAAGGCAGCCCCCUGGGCUGACACUGACGCUCAGGCACGAAAGCGUGGGGAGCAAACAGG
This 253-nucleotide ribosomal RNA is filed under the name uncultured bacterium. RNAcentral's name for it is "partial 16S ribosomal RNA". It matches the Rfam family "Bacterial small subunit ribosomal RNA", at positions 524 to 776 of the family's 1533-position model. The record is from RNAcentral.